ACCGGCGGCUCGAGUGGUGGCCACUAUUACUGGGCUUAAAGCGUUCGUAGCUGGCUUGUUAAGUCUCUGGGGAAAUCUUCCGGCUCAACCGGAAGGCGUCUCAGGGAUACUGGCAGGCUAGGGACCGGAAGAGGUGAGAGGUACUCCAGGGGUAGGAGUGAAAUCCUGUAAUCCUUGGGGGACCACCUGUGGCGAAGGCGUCUCACCAGGACGGCUCCGACAGUGAGGAACGAAAGCUGGGGGAGCAAACCG
Molecule: ribosomal RNA, 252 nt
Filed under: methanogenic endosymbiont of Metopus contortus
Lineage: Archaea; Methanobacteriati; Methanobacteriota; Methanomicrobia; Methanomicrobiales
Also listed under: 1 other name
Description: partial 16S ribosomal RNA
Rfam family: Archaeal small subunit ribosomal RNA
Source: RNAcentral